UGCAAGUCGAACGGCAGCACGGGAGCAAUCCUGGUGGCGAGUGGCGAACGGGUGAGUAAUAUAUCGGAACGUGCCCAGUCGUGGGGGAUAACGUAGCGAAAGCUACGCUAAUACCGCAUACGAUCUAUGGAUGAAGCGGGGGAUCGCAAGACCUCGCGCGAUUGGAGCGGCCGAUAUCAGAUUAGGUAGUUUGGUGAGGUAAAGGCUCACCAAGCCGACGAUCUGUAGCUGGUCUGAGAGGACGACCAGCCACACUGGGACUGAGACACAGACCAGACUCCUACGGGAGGCAGCAGUGAGGAAUAUUGGACAAUGGGCGCAAGCCUGAUCCAGCCAUGCCGCGUGCAGGAUGACGGUCCUAUGGAUUGUAAACUGCUUUUAUACAGGAAGAAACACUCCGACGUGUCGGAGCUUGACGGUACUGUAAGAAUAAGGAUCGGCUAACUCCGUG
RNAcentral lists this ribosomal RNA (451 nucleotides) under uncultured bacterium. Its description in RNAcentral is "bacterial SSU rRNA". It matches the Rfam family "Bacterial small subunit ribosomal RNA", at positions 56 to 507 of the family's 1533-position model. The record is from RNAcentral.